GUGUUCACUUUAGUAGCACAUGUGCUAAAAUUAGAACAAUACAGAGAAAAUUGCCAUGGCCCACUGUGUAAGGAUAAAAUGCAAAUUUGUAAAGUGUUCCAUAUUUUU
Molecule: small nuclear RNA, 108 nt
Filed under: Rhinolophus ferrumequinum (greater horseshoe bat)
Lineage: Eukaryota; Metazoa; Chordata; Mammalia; Chiroptera; Rhinolophidae
Source: RNAcentral